Molecule: long non-coding RNA, 963 nt
Organism: Cygnus atratus (black swan)
Lineage: Eukaryota; Metazoa; Chordata; Aves; Anseriformes; Anatidae
Exons: 2
Source: RefSeq, a predicted model, not a curated record
ACGUUCCAUCUCAGUCGAGAGUUGGUAAUAUGUUGCGUACAUACUGCAUGUUGGGUUUGUGUGUUGUUCUGCUGGACGUAUUGCUUACCAAAUGGAUAUGACUGCGAAGGAUUCAUUACCUAACGAAGAUGAGAAGGCACAUAUGCAGCAAAGUCCUAACAACGGUUUUACUGGGAAGGAAACAGCAUAUCAGUUAUGUCUUCACAUGGCUUACCUUUCCUAUUUGAAGAAGCUUGCACACUAGCUGCUGGCUCAAAUAUAUUCCUGAUCCCGACGUUGCAGUGAAACUAUUGAUCUGAAAUGCAAAGAAACUGGGAAUAAACACAGAGCCCUCUUUCCAAAAGCCUUAUCAAAUCUGGCACAGAUGCACCCCUGUGCCUUGCAUAUCGUGAGUGACAGCGCAGCACAUUAGCUGAAACCCAGCAUCUUGAGAAAGUUUAAGGGCUUAGAUGUUGCGUUGUGGCAUGCGUGUAAGUUUGCCUCUGCUGUAAGGCCAGGAGCAUCCAGCCUGGGGAUAAAGCAUAUGCAGUACUGCCUUUCAAAGCUGGGUUUGAUGGAGGUGGUGAGUUGUAAUCGUAUUUAAUUUGAACUUAGACUUUCACCUUCAAAUCUUGUCAUUUGAUUAAUACAGCAUAUUUUAAUUCAGAAAAUGAGCACGCAUGCAGAAAUAAAAAUCCUAUCAUGCACUUAUAUUUGAAGUUUCACUUCAUAGCAUUUUUAUCUUCUGGAGGGAAUGAAAUAAAAACAAUUUAUUCACUAGAGUUUAAAACUAAAUGUGUGAAGUCAGUUUGAAGCAGGGAGACUAGGGGAAAAGUUUCCUGUCAUAGUCAUGCAGCUAAUUGUUGUUGAACACAUUGUAUUUCCAUCUAAGACCGUUCAUUGUAUCUGGAAUUUGAGAUGACUUGGUUAUCUGUCUGAGCAUUGCUUAAAAGCUGUGAAAUUGGAAUAAAAAGUGAAUAUGCA